This is an RNA transcript of Ochotona princeps (American pika), 779 nucleotides long. It is a transcript of the gene named large ribosomal subunit protein uL1-like, with no coding region annotated. Lineage: Eukaryota; Metazoa; Chordata; Mammalia; Lagomorpha; Ochotonidae. The record is from RefSeq and is a predicted model, not a curated record. The transcript has a single exon.
ACCCAUGAAUUCGGUAUGUUUAAAAUACAGUAUAAAGUAGCUCUUCUGGUUGCCGCGGUGCGAGCGGCAAUGAGCAGCAAAGUUUCUCGAGACACCCUGUAGGAGGAGGCGGUGCGGGAGGUCCUACACGGGAACCAGUGUGAGCGCCACAAGUUCCUGGAGAUGGUGGAGCUGCAGAUCAGCCUCAACAACUACGACCCCCAGAAGGACAAGCGUUUCUCGGGCACCGUCAGGCUCAAGUCCACCCUGCGCCCCAAGUUCUCAGUAUGCGUCCUGGGCGACCAGGAGCACUGCGAUGAGGCCAAGGCUGUGGACGUGCCCCACAUGGACAUCGAGGUGCUCAAGAAGCUCCACAAAAACAAGAAACUCGUCAAGAAGCUGGGCAAGAAGCACAACGCCUUUCUGGCCUCGGAGUCCCUGAGCAAACAGAUCUCUCGGAUGCCCAGGCCUCAACAAGGUGGGCAGGUUCCCCUCUUUGUGACACACAGUGAGAACAUGGUGGCCAAAGCCGACGAGGUCAAGUCCACCAUCAAGUUCCAGGUGAAGAAGGUGCUGUGUCUGACUGUGGCUGUUGUCCACGUGAAGAUGACCGACCAAGAGGAGCUUGUGGACAACGUCCACCUGGCUGUCAACUUCCUGGUAUCGCUGCUCAAGAAGAACUGGCAGAAUGUGCAGGCCUUGUACAUAAAGAGCACCAUGGGCAAGCCUCAGCGCCUGUAUUAGGCUGUCCAAUAAACCUGUGUGUGUCUGAAAAAAAAUAAAAUAAAGUAUAAAGUAAA